RNAcentral lists this ribosomal RNA (452 nucleotides) under uncultured bacterium. Its description in RNAcentral is "bacterial SSU rRNA". It matches the Rfam family "Bacterial small subunit ribosomal RNA", at positions 923 to 1379 of the family's 1533-position model. The record is from RNAcentral.
GCACAAGCGGUGGAGCAUGUGGUUUAAUUCGACGCAACGCGAAGAACCUUACCUGGGCUUGACAUGUGCGGAAAUCCUACGAAAGUAGGCUCCGGGGCAACCCGGCCGCAACACAGGUGCUGCAUGGCUGUCGUCAGCUCGUGCCGUGAGGUGUUGGGUUAAGUCCCGCAACGAGCGCAACCCUUGUCGUGUGUUGGUCCACAAGAUCUCUCACACGAGACCGCCGAUGAGAAGUCGGAGGAAGGUGGGGAUGACGUCAAGUCAGCAUGGCCCUUACGUCCAGGGCUACACACGUGCUACAAUGCGCGCGACAACGAGCUGCGAACCCGCGAGGGCAAGCCAAUCUCAUAAACGCGCGCUCAGUUCGGAUUGAAGGCUGCAACUCGCCUUCAUGAAGUCGGAAUCGCUAGUAAACGCAGAUCAGCUACGCUGCGGUGAAUACGUUCCCGGGC